AUUUAAAUAAUUUAAUUAAAAUUUUGAUUUGUGGAAUCAAAUAUAUAUAUAUAUUAUAACUU
RNAcentral lists this transfer RNA (62 nucleotides) under Encarsia formosa. RNAcentral describes it as "tRNA-His". The record is from RNAcentral. Lineage: Eukaryota; Metazoa; Arthropoda; Insecta; Hymenoptera; Aphelinidae.